This 592-nucleotide ribosomal RNA is filed under the name Leonesiella bergidi. RNAcentral's name for it is "partial 16S ribosomal RNA". It matches the Rfam family "Bacterial large subunit ribosomal RNA", at positions 1858 to 2735 of the family's 2925-position model. The record is from RNAcentral. Lineage: Eukaryota; Metazoa; Arthropoda; Insecta; Coleoptera; Leiodidae.
UCUGCCCAGUGAUUUAUUAAAUGGCUGCAGUAUUUUAACUGUACAAAGGUAGCAUAAUAAUUAGUUUCUUAAUUAGGAACUGGAAUGAAAGAUUGAACGAGACAAUAACUGUCUUAAUUUUAAUUUAAGAAUUUUAUUUUUAAGUUAAAAAGCUUAAAUUUUUUUAAAAGACGAGAAGACCCUAUAGAAUUUUAUAUUAUUAUAAUAUUUAAAUUUUAGUAUAUUAAUUUUAUAUUUUUGUAAAGAUAUUUAGUUGGGGUGAUUGAAAAAUUUAUUUAACUUUUUUUUUUAUUAAACAUUUAUUUAUGUUUUUUUGAUCCAAUAUUUUUGAUUAUAAGAUUAAAUUACCUUAGGGAUAACAGCGUAAUUUUUUUAGAGAGUUCUUAUCGAUAAAAGAGAUUGCGACCUCGAUGUUGGAUUAAAGUUAAUUUUUAAUGUAGAAGUUAAAAUAUUAGGUCUGUUCGACCUUUGAAACUUUACAUGAUCUGAGUUUAAAUCGGCGUGAGCCAGGUUGGAUUCUAUCUUUAAUAAGUUUUGAUAUUUUAGUACGAAAGGACCAAAUAUUAUUUAUAAUAAGUUUUAUUGAAUAAUA